This 349-nucleotide ribosomal RNA is filed under the name uncultured bacterium. RNAcentral's name for it is "partial 16S ribosomal RNA". It matches the Rfam family "Bacterial small subunit ribosomal RNA", at positions 338 to 704 of the family's 1533-position model. The record is from RNAcentral.
CCUACGGGUGGCAGCAGUGGGGAAUAUUGCACAAUGGGGGAAACCCUGAUGCAGCGACGCCGCGUGAGUGAAGAAGGAUUUCGGUAUGUAAAGCUCUAUCAGCAGGGAAGAAAAUGACGGUACCUGAGUAAGAAGCCCCGGCUAACUACGGGCCAGCAGCCGCGGUAAUACGUAGGGGGCAAGCGUUAUCCGGAUUUACUGGGUGGAAAGGGAGCGUAGACGGCAGCACAAGUCUGGAGUGAAAUGCCGGGGCUUAACCCCGGAACUGCUUUGGAAACUGUGCAGCUAGAGUGCCGGAGAGGUAAGUUGAUUUCCUCUUGUAGCGGUGACAUGCGUCGAUAUUAGGAGG